CGAAGUAGGGAUGGCGCGUGAAGUGCUUCAGGAUGGGAAGUUGCCUGUUGACGAAGGGUCAAAGACCCGCGGUGCCAUACCCGCAUCCGUUG
This 92-nucleotide non-coding RNA is filed under the name bovine gut metagenome. RNAcentral describes it as "THF riboswitch". It matches the Rfam family "THF (Tetrahydrofolate) riboswitch aptamer". From Rfam's summary of the family: THF riboswitch presents a pseudoknot that joins P1-P2 and the loop of P3 and two THF binding. The record is from RNAcentral.